This is an RNA transcript of Colias croceus (clouded yellow), 8423 nucleotides long. It is a transcript of the gene named rho-associated protein kinase 2, with no coding region annotated. Lineage: Eukaryota; Metazoa; Arthropoda; Insecta; Lepidoptera; Pieridae. The transcript has 13 exons. The record is from RefSeq and is a predicted model, not a curated record.
UUGUCCGAUCAUCGUUCGUCAACGAAGCGGUGAUAACUUUUCAUCAAAUUUUUCAUUUUGUUCAAUGUUGUGCCAAUAAAUAAAGUAUAUUUGUGUUAUUAUACUCUUCCAAUCAAAUGGAACGUGCUGAUGAAUUAAAUUUCGGUUUAUUAUGUUUGUGAACGUACAUAUGCUUUGUUGUGAGAACCACCUUUAUCUGCUGUCAUUCUAAGUUUGCAAGAAAAUUUUUCGAUAAUGAAACAUAGGUUGUUCACAAAACAGUAACUUGUUAAUAUAGUUAUCACAACAAGACUAAAAGACUAUCCAGCUGUUGAUGUGUCGUUAUGCGAAUAGUGUUUUUCUUCGGAGUAGUGAUCUGGAGAAUGUGCGGUGGCGUUUAGUGUCUCAAGGGGUCAGAGACAGAGUUCAGCAUGGGGACAGUAAAGGAUGAAGAGCGUAUGCGACGUCUACGUUUGCUGGAAGAGAGGCUGUGCGACCCUCGCUCAACCGGCAACGUGGACUGUCUGCUAGACACCGUCACAGCACUGAUAUCGGACUGUGAUCAUCCGGCCAUUCGACGUAUGAAAAAUGUCGAAGCAUACACGAGUAGAUAUGAGGAAUUUGCAUCAGAAAUAGUAGAUCUGCGUAUGAAAGCAGCUGAUUUUGAUCUUAUAAAAGUAAUUGGUCGUGGAGCAUUUGGUGAAGUUCAACUAGUCAGACAUAAAUCAACUCGAUUGGUAUAUGCUAUGAAACUAUUAAGCAAAGUAGAAAUGAUAAAAAGAUCAGAUUCUACUUUUUUCUGGGAGGAAAGACACAUCAUGGCACAUGCAAAUUCUGAAUGGAUUCUAAAACUGCAUUUUGCAUUUCAAGACCAUAAAUACUUGUAUAUGGUCAUGGAUUACAUGCCAGGUGGUGAUUUAGUUAGCCUUAUGUCUAAUUAUGAUAUACCUGAAAAAUGGGCUAAAUUUUACACUAUGGAGAUAGUACUUGCAUUAAAUGUAAUUCAUGGAAUGGGUUUUGUUCAUAGAGAUGUUAAACCUGAUAACAUGCUGAUUGACAAAUAUGGCCAUUUAAAAUUGGCAGACUUUGGUACAUGUAUGAGAAUGGGCCCAGAUGGACUUGUGCGUGCUAGCAAUGCUGUCGGUACACCUGAUUACAUAUCACCUGAAGUGUUACAAUCCCAAAAUGGUGAAGGGGUAUAUGGUCGUGAAUGUGACUGGUGGGCAGUUGGGAUAUUUCUUUAUGAAAUGUUAAUAGGUGAUCCACCUUUUUAUGCUGACAGCUUAGUGGGUACUUAUGGCAAAAUUAUGGACCACAGAAAUUCUUUGCAGUUCCCAGAUGAUAUAGACAUUUCAAAAGAAGCCAAAUCUCUUAUAAGAGGUUUGUUGACUGACAGGGUAAAAAGACUGGGUAAAAACAGUGUAGAUGAAAUCAAGCAACAUCCCUUCUUCAUAAAUGACCAAUGGAGUUUUGAAAAUCUUCGAGAUUCAGUGCCACCUGUUGUUCCAGAAUUGUCUAGUGAUGAUGAUACUAGAAACUUUGAUGACAUUGAAAAGUCGGAUGCCUUAGAUGAAUCUUUUCCUGUGCCAAAGGCCUUUGUAGGAAACCAUUUGCCCUUUGUUGGUUUCACUUAUAAUGGUGAUUAUCAGAUAUGUGGUGGUCGAAUAAAACCAGCCGAUGUGGUGGAUACAAUUUCAAAUAAUCAUAUUAAUAAUGUGGGUUCUGAAGCUAUACUUCAAUUAGAAAAGUUAUUGGAGAGAGAACGAGAUUCAAGAAGGAAAUUAGAAGAUAGACAAGUAAUGCUUUGUAAUCAAUUAGAAGACAUGUCACAAAGAGAAAUGAGAAACAAGAAAAUUAUCGCUGACACAGAUAAAGAACUGGCUUUAUUAAAACAUGAUCUUAAAGAAAUACAACGCAAAGCAGAAAUAGAAGCGGAUUCCAGAAGAAAGGCCGAAAUAAAUUAUAGUGAUAUUAAACGGCGUCUUGAAGAGGAGCAAAGUAAGAGAGUCAAGGAAAUGAGUAGUUUGCAAAUUUAUAAUGAAAAAAUUAAUGCAUUGGAGAAACAAUUAACAGAGAUGCGUGAAAAAUUGAAACAAGAAUCUGAGGCAGCAGCAAAAUCACGAAAGCAGGCUGCAGAGUUAAGUGCAGCUCAAGCUGCGGCAGCUGCUGCGAGUGACGGUACGGUGGCGAGCCUUAGGGCGCAGCGAGACGCUUUAGAGAGAGAAUGUGGUGCUUUAUCUGAGGAGCUCGGUUCUGUCAAGGCUGCUAAGCAACGUUCGGACGCUUCCGUUUCUGAAGCUACUAAUAGAUUAAAUGCUGCACAUUCAGAGCUAGAAAGAUCAUCAAUGAGGAUUAACCAAAUAUUAACAGACAAUAGGCAGCUCUCUGAGCGUGUUUCUUCAUUAGAGAAGGAAUGCACUUCUUUAGCACAUGACUUGAGAACGUCACAACAUCUUUACCAACAAGAAGUGCGGGCUCAUCAGGAGACCCAAAGAUCUCAAUUGCUUUCCAAGCAGGAAGCAAACUUGGAGCUAGUCAAAGACGUGGAUCAUGCGAUUGUUCAUCCAACAGCAUUACAAGGCAAGUUGAAUGAAGAGAAGACAGCAAGGCAGCGAGCGGAAGCUGGCUCUCAGGAGAAGGAUCGACAGAUGUCCAUGCUGAAUGUAGACUACAGGCAGAUGCAACAGAGGUUGCAGAAACUUGAGGGAGAACACAGACAAGAAAGUGAAAAGGUGGCUGGUUUACAAGCUGCACUAGAGCAAGAGCGCGCGGCCCGCCUGUCCGCCAGCUCGGAGACCGCCGCAGCGGAGAGCGCAGCCCGCGCGGCCGCGGCGGAGCGGGACGCGCGCGCGCGCGACCUGCACGCGGUGCGGUCCGCGCUGCACGACGCCACCGAGAAGCUGGCGGCCGCCAGCGCGGAGCGCGACAUGCACUACGCGAGGAGCGAGGAGUUACGCUCCCAGCUCGAGAGCGAGCAGCACUACUGCGUGAUGUACCGUACGCAGGCGAACGACGCUCGCUCGCAGCUCGACGAGAGUGCGCGUGCGAACCGCGACCUUGAACAGGAGCGGGCCAGUCUCAUGCACCAGCUGCAACUGGCCAUCGCCAGGGCGGACUCGGAGGCGAUUGCGAGGUCAAUAGCGGAGGAGACGGUCGGCGAGUUGGAGAAGGAGAAGACGAUGAAGGAGCUGGAGAUGCGCGAGGCGCUGGCGCAGCACCGCAGCGAGCUGGCGGCGCGCGACGCGCUCGUGCAGGGGCUGCGGGACCGCGACCACGAGAACCGCGCCACCAUCGACCUGCAGCGGAAGGAGGUGGACGAGCUCCGUCGCAGCGGCACGGCGCUGGCGGAGCGCGUGGCGACGCUGCAGCGGCUGCAGGACGACGUCGACCGUCUCAACAAGAAGCUCAACUCAGAGAUCAUGCUCAAGCAGCAGGCCGUCAACAAGCUCGCUGAGAUUAUGAACAGAAAGGACAUGAACCCGGCGUCCACGAAGAACAAGAGCAAGAUGUCGGUCCGCAAGGACAAGGACUACCGCAAGCUGCAGCAGGAGCUGACGCGCGAGAAGGAGAAGUCGGACCAGCACAUUGCGAAGCUCCAGCGGGACCUGCAGGAGUCCCAGCAGCAGCUGCUUGAAGAGCAGCAGACCAGGCUCCGGCUGGCUAUGGAGGUGGACAGCAAAGACGCGGAAAUCGAGCAGCUCAAGGAGAAACUCGCCGCGCUAACAAGCGAAACAGCGUCACAGUCGUCUGCCGACGCGGAGGACGGGGAAACGGAACAGACCCUCGAGGGCUGGCUCUCUGUGCCCUUCAAGCAGAACAUACGCCGCCACGGGUGGAAGAAGCAGUAUGUCGUCGUGUCCUCGAAGAAGAUCAUAUUCUACAAUAGCGAGAACGAUAAGCAGAAUACCACGGAUCCCGUGAUGAUAUUGGAUUUGAGCAAAGUGUUCCACGUGCGCUCAGUGACGCAGGGCGACGUGAUCCGCGCGGACGCGAAGGACAUCCCGCGCAUCUUCCAGCUGCUGUACGCGGGCGAGGGCGAGGCCCGCCGGCCCGGCGACGCGCAGGAGCAGCCCGCCGACGGCGCUGAGCACGCCGCAAACACAGUGCAGCACAAGGGCCACGACCUGGUCAGCAUCACGUACCACAUCCCGACCGCGUGCGAGGUGUGCACGCGCCCGCUCUGGCACAUGUUCCGUCCGCCGCAGGCCUACGAGUGUCGACGUUGCCGCAUGAAGGUGCACGCGGAGCACGUGACGGAGGCGGGCGGCGAGGGCGUGGCGGCGUGCAAGCUGCACGCGGACCGCGCGCGCGAGCUGCUGCUGCUGGCGCCCGCCGCCACCGAGCAGCGCCGCUGGGUGGCGCGCCUCGCCCGCCGCGUGCAGCGCUACGGCUACCGCGCCGCGCACACCAACCACGACCUCACCAAGCUGUCGCCCAGGUAACUGCGCGCGAGCUGCUGCUGCUGGCGCCCGCCGCCACCGAGCAGCGCCGCUGGGUGGCGCGCCUCGCCCGCCGCGUGCAGCGCUACGGCUACCGCGCCGCGCACACCAACCACGACCUCACCAAGCUGUCGCCCAGGUAACUGCGCGCGAGCUGCUGCUGCUGGCGCCCGCCGCCACCGAGCAGCGCCGCUGGGUGGCGCGCCUCGCCCGCCGCGUGCAGCGCUACGGCUACCGCGCCGCGCACACCAACCACGACCUCACCAAGCUGUCGCCCAGGUAACUGCGCGCGAGCUGCUGCUGCUGGCGCCCGCCGCCACCGAGCAGCGCCGCUGGGUGGCGCGCCUCGCCCGCCGCGUGCAGCGCUACGGCUACCGCGCCGCGCACACCAACCACGACCUCACCAAGCUGUCGCCCAGGUAACUGCGCGCGAGCUGCUGCUGCUGGCGCCCGCCGCCACCGAGCAGCGCCGCUGGGUGGCGCGCCUCGCCCGCCGCGUGCAGCGCUACGGCUACCGCGCCGCGCACACCAACCACGACCUCACCAAGCUGUCGCCCAGGUAACUGCGCGCGAGCUGCUGCUGCUGGCGCCCGCCGCCACCGAGCAGCGCCGCUGGGUGGCGCGCCUCGCCCGCCGCGUGCAGCGCUACGGCUACCGCGCCGCGCACACCAACCACGACCUCACCAAGCUGUCGCCCAGGUAACUGCGCGCGAGCUGCUGCUGCUGGCGCCCGCCGCCACCGAGCAGCGCCGCUGGGUGGCGCGCCUCGCCCGCCGCGUGCAGCGCUACGGCUACCGCGCCGCGCACACCAACCACGACCUCACCAAGCUGUCGCCCAGGUAACUGCGCGCGAGCUGCUGCUGCUGGCGCCCGCCGCCACCGAGCAGCGCCGCUGGGUGGCGCGCCUCGCCCGCCGCGUGCAGCGCUACGGCUACCGCGCCGCGCACACCAACCACGACCUCACCAAGCUGUCGCCCAGGUAACUGCGCGCGAGCUGCUGCUGCUGGCGCCCGCCGCCACCGAGCAGCGCCGCUGGGUGGCGCGCCUCGCCCGCCGCGUGCAGCGCUACGGCUACCGCGCCGCGCACACCAACCACGACCUCACCAAGCUGUCGCCCAGGGAUUCAAUGCGGUCGAACUUGAAGGUUGCGUACAUGAACGCGUCGCAGCGCAGCUCCACGCUGCCCGCCAACGCGUCGCUCCCAAGACAGUGACUGAACUCGACCGAUACAACCCUUACCAACCAAUACCAAUUAAAUCAAUAUCAAUUAAACUACUUAAAACGGUCAGGAUAUAUCAAAGUUUCAUAUGUAUGAAACAAUCCGCUCACGAGGAGUAUCGACUCCAUUACGAAACGACCUUAGUUCAAUUUAAGACGAUUCCGACGUGGCCUACGACUAUUACUAUUACGUAACUCUCUGGUGCAUACUAAGGCCUCACGUUAGACUUUAAAGGCAUAUUUAAGUCGCAUUUUUUUAAUUUCAUUCAAUCGUUAUUACCUUUUGAUUAUUAUUGUUACGUCACCGAUACGAAUGAAAGUUUUAUGUAUUAAGAUAUGUAUAUACCAGUUUACCUAGUCCAUAGAUUUCAUCCGUCGUCCAAAUUUUUUGUCCAAAUUUAUUGUCAGCAUUAUCGCUGUGAUAGUUUAUUUCGUGUACUUAUUUUGUUUGAUUUUUUUUACUAAAUUUAGUUACUAAGUAUAGAUCUGAAGAUGAGAAUUUGACUUAUUGGUUAUUUUUUAAUUUGAAUUAAAAUUUGUUUAGAUAUUUUUUUUUAUACAAUAAUAAUGGAACAGUUUUGAUAAUUUGAAUUCUGAAAAAAUACUGGACAUGAAUAUAGCUAAGAAAGCUUUAUGAUGAUUUCUUGUACUAUUAGUGAAAGACGGUACAUUAUAAAUUAUAUAAGCGUCAAUUUUAAAAGAAAAGACUUAAUUCUCGUUUAUUGUUCAUGACACUUGCUCAUAAUAUGUUUUCUAUAAUAUAUACAUAAAUAUAACAACAAAUUCAAGCAACCCCGUUUAUGGGAAAUAUGACUUAAAAUAUAUGAUUAUAUGAACUGAAAUUAAAUGACAAACUCCUCAACAUUGGAGAUCAGAUAAUAUCGUAAUGGAAUUUUUUGGAAAGUAUAUUUUAACGUUUCAAUUUCUUGUUUGCUUUUGUAAAUAUAAUUAUGAAGUUACAUUUGUGUUGAUAUUAUGACAAUUUUGUAUUUUUUCUUAUUUUAUAAUAUUAUGUAAUAUAUAGGUAUGCGUUUGGAAAAGAUAGGUUUUUGAAAUUGUUGGUGCGGACUUGUGCUUUAAAACGUUUUGCAUGCGAGAUACUAUCGGGAAAGCUUAGCUUAGAAAGUGGUUCGAUAAAUACACUCAAAUCUCAGAACUAUUCGUGAAUGUAACAUAUGACAAUAUAAUUGAAUUAUAACCCCACUAUAACAUAUAUUUUUAUACAGUAGCUCGGUCACUUUACCUAUUUAUCUCGUAGUUUUAGACGUUUUGUAAAUAUGAAUAAUUGGAGAUUCAUAAAACAGUUUUACGCGAGACUGACGGUCAAUUACCAUAGCUAUAGUUAUAAAAUGCUUUGAUGAUUCAAUUGAAAACCGCAUCGCGUAAAGUACACAUUUUUAUUAUAUACGUAAUCACUUUUAAUAUAAACACAUAAGCCGAUGGGAAUUGAGUAGAAUUUAUUUACAGAAGUGCACUGGUUAUGCGACAGCGGCUGCUGUUACACCCAUGUCCGUGUAUUGAUUAUUAUACAAGUGAAUAUUUGGGCACAAUAUAUAGAUUAAGAACAUUGAAGUCACUCCUUGCUACAUGCAUACUAACGAAUACGAGUGCCAUAAGUGUUACUGAAAAUUCACAUUUUGCUCAAACUUAAAUCUUCUCAUUCGAAUGAGUAAUUAAUUCAAACCGGUAAUAUUUUGUUUUGGUCCUACCAAAAUAAUGUUAUCGAUUGUUUACAAUUUUAAAAUCAAUAUUUUUGAUAUCAUUCGAAAAUUAGUCCGUUAAUAAGGAAAUAACACUGCCUAAGCGUUAUGUAAUAAUUUUCUGCCUUACAGUGAAAGCAAUAAUGUCUUUAAGCUUUGAAUUUUUGCGAAGUAUAUUACAUUUUGGAUAAGUGGGUGCCAAAUUGUUUUCAGCGUGUCUCCGUGCCCUUAAACCAUUUUUUACAAAGAAAUUAAUGUACAAAUGUAAUGUGUAUUUAUUAUAAUAACUAUUGGGCUUACGCAUGGUUGUGUAAAUUAACACCAAUUAAGUGAUAAUUAAGUUUAUGUGUCAAAUAGUGAAUUACCAAUGUGUACUCUUGUUAUAAUCUUUAGUCGUGAUUUUUAAAGUACAAAUCAAUUGUUGAAGUACACUUUGCGGAUUUGAUCAUCUCUUCCUUUUGUGUUCAACUUUGUUUUAAGCUUUGGUUGAACAAAUAGUGACGUUGGUAAACUUGUUUUUCUGAUAAUGAAGGUGAUUUAAGCCAUUUAAGUGAAGUUUAUUAAACUCGCUAUUUAUUACAAUCAAAGCUAAUUAGUUAAUGUUUUUUAAAUAAGAAUAACCGAGGAGUGAAAUAGAACUGGCAUCGAAUGCAGGGAACGCUUAAGGCGGGGCAGGAAGCGGGCUCGGAGCUGUGAUAUGUAACGUCGCCAACACCCGUGGUGCUAAUGAAUGCUGGCCUCCAACGCAUUGUUGUUACUGUGCUUCUCGUUAAAUGUUAAAUUUGCCUUUUUAUUGCUCUACAAACUGUUAACAUUCCUACAUAAAGCUACAUUGUUUUGUUUACUUUAGUUUUACGUCGACUCGAGUUAUCUUCUGUCGCUCGAUCAGUUAUCCGCUUCUAUAUUUUUAUAGGUUAAGCUCAGAAGCCUCUGUCGUAGUUUAUUGUCUAAGAUCCGAACAUAAGGCGAAAUUCAACGGCGUGACAAUAGAAUGAGACCAAUUUUAUAAUUAAUUUAGUCUAUUAAAAAUGUAUUAAAAAUGGGUUGACUUGGAAAAUCCUGGACAGGACAUUUUUAAUGAAUUAAA